This 500-nucleotide ribosomal RNA is filed under the name uncultured bacterium. RNAcentral describes it as "partial 16S ribosomal RNA". It matches the Rfam family "Bacterial small subunit ribosomal RNA", at positions 29 to 523 of the family's 1533-position model. The record is from RNAcentral.
AUUGAACGCUGGCGGCAUGCCUUACACAUGCAAGUCGAACGGCAGCGCGGACUUCGGUCUGGCGGCGAGUGGCGAACGGGUGAGUAAUACAUCGGAACGUACCCUGUUGUGGGGGAUAACUAGUCGAAAGAUUAGCUAAUACCGCAUACGACCUGAGGGUGAAAGUGGGGGACCGCAAGGCCUCACGCAGCAGGAGCGGCCGAUGUCUGAUUAGCUAGUUGGUGGGGUAAAGGCCCACCAAGGCGACGAUCAGUAGCUGGUCUGAGAGGACGAUCAGCCACACUGGGACUGAGACACGGCCCAGACUCCUACGGGAGGCAGCAGUGGGGAAUUUCGGACAAUGGGGGCAACCCUGACCCAGCAAUGCCGCGUGUGUGAAGAAGGCCUUCGGGUUAUAAAGCACUUUUGUCCGGAAAGAAAUCGCGCUGGUUAAUACCUGGCGUGGAUGACGGUACCGGAAGAAUAAGCACCGGCUAACUACGUGCCAGCCGCCGCGGUAA